Molecule: ribosomal RNA, 496 nt
Filed under: uncultured bacterium
Lineage: Bacteria
Description: partial 16S ribosomal RNA
Rfam family: Bacterial small subunit ribosomal RNA
Source: RNAcentral
ACGAACGCUGGCGGCGUGCCUAAUACAUGCAAGUAGAACGCUGAAGCUUGGUGCUUGCACCGGGCGGAUGAGUUGCGAACGGGUGAGUAACGCGUAGGUAACCUGCCUGGUAGCGGGGGAUAACUAUUGGAAACGAUAGCUAAUACCGCAUAAGAGUAGAUGUUGCAUGACAUUUGCUUAAAAGGUGCAAUUGCAUCACUACCAGAUGGACCUGCGUUGUAUUAGCUAGUUGGUGAGGUAACGGCUCACCAAGGCAACGAUACAUAGCCGACCUGAGAGGGUGAUCGGCCACACUGGGACUGAGACACGGCCCAGACUCCUACGGGAGGCAGCAGUAGGGAAUCUUCGGCAAUGGACGGAAGUCUGACCGAGCAACGCCGCGUGAGUGAAGAAGGUUUUCGGAUCGUAAAGCUCUGUUGUAAGAGAAGAACGAGUGUGAGAGUGGAAAGUUCACACUGUGACGGUAUCUUACCAGAAAGGGACGGCUAACUACGUG